UCCGCUCAGGGCACAUCCUGCCUCAGCAGCCACACCUCUCCCUCCAAGCACAGAGCUUGCUGCCCCACCCCCGUACAAUGAACGAGCAUGCCAAGGAGAGGAGCUCCAUGUGUAUGGGAGACCAGCCGCUCCCCAAUCUUCAGAUCUGACCAACGUGGGAGGAAUUGUUGGAGAACAACCAAAUCCAAACGCCUCACCGAAGUUUGCAAUGGAUCAACCUUGAAGACACUCGGAACAUUUACUUCGAGUGAAGACUCUCGCGGCGCAAUUGCCACUGCCCCGACCUCGCCGAUUGUUUACCUCGCUGGCUUGACAGCGGCCUUUGUGAUUUUGAACAUAUGUGCUACUCUCCUGGACACCGCCGACUCAGGUCCUACUCUCCUGGACGCCGCCAACUCAGGUUAUAUCUACAUGUAGCGUUGGAGAAUAUUAUGCUGAAUGGGCCAUAUCGGUCUUUUUCUGCACGCAUUAUUAUAUCCUCUUCUUAUCUCCCCCGCUUGUGCCACCGGAGAAUAUCAAGGAUGUGGCAUCGGCACUGAGCCGCCACUGGUAGGCAAGGGCAUGUGGCCUGGCCAUGAACGAUGAGAUUGGGGUCGGCACACACCAAAGCGACACACAGAGGCAGAGUUCUAUAAAAAAAAAGAAAUCCAUCUAAUUCUACUUGACAACCUUCCAACACGAGGUAACAUCAUUUGUGGCAUGGGUAUAUCUUAUAUCUACUAAAUAUCACUUCUAGAUAUUGGUGUUACGUACCAAGUGCAUCUAUAUUGCCAAUGCUUCUGCGCUUUUGAUAAUUAGUCAAUAUUUUCAUGUAUUUGUUACAACAGCAUGGUGUUAGCAAGCGUAUUGUCUUGUGAAAAAUUGAUGAUUGCAUCUGCACUUCGUAUCUAAUUGUGUUAUUUCAGAGCUAAUAUUUUUACUAAUUAUUCUAUUCUUUCCACUUCUUGUAUAAACAGACCAGGACCAGUAUUCUGAACCUCAUACCAUUAAGAUAAUCAGCUAAGUUUUUUUAUAGAUGCACUAACUGAUUGCUAAUUUCAGCUUUGUUCUUCAUUACUGCAGGGCAUAUCUGUAUUCUAAAGAAAAUUCGUACACCUGGUAAUUCUUUCUUGACAUGGCUAUUCCAUCGAGGUUUAAUCCUAUGAUACACAACUAAUAGUUUGUUGGUAUGCAUAACUAUCUUGCCAAAGUUGCAGGUUAUUCCUUUGAAUGAUCUAAGAAAUAUAUUUGGAUUAGGGAAGCAUGAAGCACAAGCAAUCACCUCAGAUAUUGAAUCUCGAGCAUACAGAAAUAAGCUUAUAAAAUCCUUUAGUACUGAUUUGGCUGCUGCUCCUAACAAAGCAUCAUUCCUCCAAAAUCUCUGUCAGGAGUUACAGUUUGAUCCUGAACUUGCUAGCAAGAUGCAUAAAGAUACCAAGCUGACACUUGUUUUUUGUAUUACAUCAUUAAUUUUACAGCAUAGUUCUAUGUUAGCUCAAAAUUUGAUCUUGCUCCUGCUAGCAAGAUGUGUACCAUAUUAGCUACAGUUUGAAGGAUAUAAUCCUUUUGUUUCAAGACUGAUGGUUAAACAUUCCUCCAAUGUGAAAGUUAUUAUUUUCUGUUCAAAUUUCUUCGUUACA
This is an RNA transcript of Triticum dicoccoides, 1619 nucleotides long. RefSeq lists it as uncharacterized. The transcript has 4 exons. Lineage: Eukaryota; Viridiplantae; Streptophyta; Magnoliopsida; Poales; Poaceae. The record is from RefSeq and is a predicted model, not a curated record.